UGGGCUUUAAGGAAACGAACCGGGUCGCGGGUCAUGGGUCAUGGGCGACCCGGUUUGGGGAUAUAUAAGGGUUGUAGGGGUUUUUUUCUUUCAUUUUUCAUUUCUCUUUCUCUCUCUUAUCCCUCAAAUCCUCUCUUCUCUCUCUACUUCUUUCUUCUUCUCCGGUGGAGGUGAGGGGCGGCCGGGAGAAUUCCGGCGCGGUGGCCGGCGAGCCAUCGCGGCUGCGCCGCCGCGCCGGAGCUAAAAGCUCCUCUUUUUUUUGAUUUUUUUUUGGUUUUAAGACCGGCUCUCUCUCCUAAUCUCGUUUCUUCACUCACAACACUUGAAUACUACCCCUAAAUUUCUAGAUCUACAAAAAAAAAACGCGAAAAUUACCUCCUUUGCGCGUGUGUCGCUUCCGUACGCUUGCUGUUUGGCUUUGUCGUGAUGUUUUGUCACCGCUUGCGUGUGCGACUGUGAUCUGGAAAUCGUGUUUGUAUCGCGAUUCGGAUUGCCUUUGUGCGGUUCUGGCUCCUUCUCUGUGCGCCCCCGUUCUGCUUCUUGUGCGCGUGUUUUGUUGUGUUGCUGCGUGUUGACGCUGUGUGUAUGUGUUUGUGCGAUGCCGUGUUCUGUUGCUCUUGCUUCUGCGUUUUUUCGCGUGUUCUGCUGUGCUCUGUUGUUCUGUUGUUUUUUCUGUCUUUUUCUUUGUUGUGCAGGUCUCUAUUUAUAGAGUGAGUUUGAGGCUAGGAUUUGUUACUGAUGAGCAAAAAAUCAGUAGUUUGUGGAGGAGAAAAAGGGAAAUGCGUCUGUUUUUUUACUGGAUUUGUUUCAGAUGAGGCAGUGUGAACUGGAUUUGGACUGGAAUGGAAAAGGAACAGAACGUGCAUAAGGAUUGAGAUGAGAGACUGUUUAUCUGAAUUUGGACUAUUUUGUUGGACUUAUCUCUGGACAAUUUUGGGACUUUAAUUAAAAAGAAAAAAUUAAUAAUAAAAGGAUAAUGUCUAUAUUUUUGGUUUUAAAAAGGAUAAAAAGGAAAAUUUAAAAUGGGAAUAAAAGAAAUUUAAUCUAAAUUGGACUAAAAUUAAAAUUAGAGUUCUAAAUUAAAAAUUUAAAAGAUGGAAAUAAAUAAUUAAAGACUGAGAGAAGAGGGCCCGAUUCGGAACUUUAUGAGGUAUUUCAAAAUACCUCCCUGCCGAAUUUUUUUACUGAAAUGUGAGUCUUGGUCCGAGUU
Molecule: long non-coding RNA, 1210 nt
Filed under: Medicago truncatula (barrel medic)
Lineage: Eukaryota; Viridiplantae; Streptophyta; Magnoliopsida; Fabales; Fabaceae
Description: long non-coding RNA (MTRU_LNC000358)
Source: RNAcentral